GCCUGGCUGGCUCAGUUGGUAGAGCAUGUGACUCUUGAGCUCAGCGUCAUGAGUUCGAGCCCCAUGUUGGGUG
This is a non-coding RNA of Ailuropoda melanoleuca (giant panda), 73 nucleotides long. NCBI's taxonomy places the organism in Eukaryota, Metazoa, Chordata, Mammalia, Carnivora, Ursidae. The record is from Rfam.